ACAAUGGAGAGUUUGAUCCUGGCUCAGGAUGAACGCUAGCGGCAGGCUUAACACAUGCAAGUCGAGGGGCAGCAUAGUCUUCGGACUGAUGGCGACCGGCGC
RNAcentral lists this ribosomal RNA (102 nucleotides) under Rikenellaceae bacterium. RNAcentral describes it as "partial 16S ribosomal RNA". It matches the Rfam family "Bacterial small subunit ribosomal RNA", at positions 1 to 101 of the family's 1533-position model. The record is from RNAcentral. Lineage: Bacteria; Pseudomonadati; Bacteroidota; Bacteroidia; Bacteroidales; Rikenellaceae.